UUUAACAAUGUCUGAAAGGGUGACGAAGCGACGCCGCGUGGGUGAAGAAGGCCUUCGGGUUGUAAAACCCUGUCAGGAGUUAUGAAAUAUAAUCACGAUAAUAUCAGAGAGUAUUUGACAAAGGCUGCAAAGGAAUCCACGGCUAACUCAUUUCCAGCAGCCGCGGUAAUACAGAGGUGGCGAGCGUUGUUCGGAAUUAUUGGGCGUAAAGAGCAAGUAGGUGGGUUUGCAAGUCAGAUGUGAAAGCCUUCUGUUCAACGGAAGAAUUGCAUCUGAAACCCAGACUUUGAGUGUAGGAGGGGAGAAUGGAAAUUCUGGUGGAGCGGUGAACAGAGUAGAUAUCAGAAGGAACGCCGGCGGCGAAAGCGAAGCUCUGGCCUAUUACUGACACACAUUGUGCGAAAGGUCGGGGAGCAACCGGGAUUAGACACCCCGGUAGUCCUAGCCGUAAACGAGGGGCCCUAAGUAGCGGGGUUUU
Molecule: ribosomal RNA, 478 nt
Filed under: uncultured anaerobic ammonium-oxidizing bacterium
Lineage: Bacteria
Description: bacterial SSU rRNA
Rfam family: Bacterial small subunit ribosomal RNA
Source: RNAcentral